Molecule: ribosomal RNA, 689 nt
Filed under: Peptoniphilus faecalis
Lineage: Bacteria; Bacillati; Bacillota; Tissierellia; Tissierellales; Peptoniphilaceae
Description: Peptoniphilus sp. AGMB00490 partial 23S ribosomal RNA
Rfam family: Bacterial large subunit ribosomal RNA
Source: RNAcentral
AAAAAGGAAGUGGGGACGCAGGAGGAUAAUAAGAGCGCCCAGUUGGUGAGGCGUGCAAGCGCAAAGUCUGAAAAGUAGGCAAAACCGCUUUUCGAAAAAGAUGAAGCGUGAUGCGGAUCGAAAACAAGUAGAGAAGCUUAAGACUCCACACUGCCAAGAAAAGCCACUACAAGAGAAGUAUCGCCCGUACCGCAAACCGACACAGGUAGGUGAGGAGAGAAUCCUAAGACGAGCGGAAAAACCUUUGUUAAGGAACUCGGCAAAAUGACCCCGUAACUUCGGGAGAAGGGGAACCCCUGUAAAAGGGGGUCGCAGUGAAAAGGCCCAAGCGACUGUUUACCAAAAACACAAGUUUCUGCUAAGUUGAAAAACGAAGUAUAGGAGCUGACACCUGCCCGGUGCUGGAAGGUUAAGGGAAAGAGUAAGCGCAAGCGAAGCUUAGAACUGAAGCCCCAGUAAACGGCGGCCGUAACUAUAACGGUCCUAAGGUAGCGAAAUUCCUUGUCGGGUAAGUUCCGACCCGCACGAAAGGUGUAACGAUUUGGGCACUGUCUCAACAAAGGAUCCGGUGAAAUUGUAGUAGCGGUAAAGAUGCCGCUUACCCACGACAGGACGGAAAGACCCCGUGGAGCUUUACUGUAGGCUGAGAUUGAAUUUUGGGAUUAAAUGUACAGAAUAGGUGGGAGGCA